Molecule: long non-coding RNA, 2021 nt
Organism: Hylaeus volcanicus
Lineage: Eukaryota; Metazoa; Arthropoda; Insecta; Hymenoptera; Colletidae
Exons: 3
Source: RefSeq, a predicted model, not a curated record
GCUCAAAGCCUGUGGCAAGGGCAAAUCGACAUAAAAAAGCUUGUAAAUUGAAAAAUUGCUAUUCAAACCCGUCAGAUGCAGCGUUUUUAAAUAAAAAGAUCAUUCGCAUGGCAGCAACAUGACGUCUGGAAUUUCUUGUAUCCAUUCUACAAACGGUUUUUUGCUUACUCAAUGAAGAGUCGCGCCGUUUCAUAAUUUCUCAAGCAAAUUCCCUCCAAAGCAAUAAACUUCAGGAUUACUUGAUAAGGCGAUCUAUAUCGAUGGCAUGCAUUCACAAUAUGAAAGGCUUAGAAUGUCAUUAAAAAUUUCAAGUGACCCACAUUAUUGCCAUACUAUAUAACACUGUUUCGAUUUUUCUUAGAGACCCGUAGCAUCAACAUCCAGCUACCUUUGAAAAGAAUAGACAAUAAAUCCAAACCCAUAUAUAACGAACAAGGCUUUUAUUUCUAGGAAGACGGCAUUUAAUUUCUCAAUGAAGAGCACGCGUUUUGAAAAAUAUUAACCACAACAUUUUAACUAUUUACCAGAACGAAUGGUGGAGAGGACAAGAUUUUUAUACACAGUAAUUCAGUUGAAUAAGAUAAACGGGUAACCAGCGUCUCCGGUAUAAUUAAACGGUGACCUCAAUGUGAUUCACUGGAUAAUGAUUUUGUUUCGACUUUUUCCCAACUUGUUAAGAAAGUCUUCACAACAAUUAUUUUAUAGAUGUCUACAUGGUUGAACGCAUGGUUCCCAUGGCGAGUUGGUAAAAUGUGUGGUCGUAACACCCCACAGACCACCAUAUAUCGUUCUUGUAAGAUUCCUCCAUACUUGACGCAUUACAAGGAAACCUGGAAUUGGAAUAGUUUCUAUUACGAAUAACUUUUUUUUUUUUGGAGUCUAGAAAGAAACACUUGUAGAGUACCUCUUACUACGACUGCUUGAUUUUAGGAGAUGCUAACACAAUGAAUAGCAUAGAGCGUCUUACACCAGGAGGUCUUUACAAAGCUAAAAAUGACACUUUAGAGACUUAACACAAAAAAAUUGGAACCUGCGCUUACUGAAGGAAACACCUUCUCUUGCUUCUUUUUGAAUAUGGAUUCCCAGCUCUUUAACCCCUCCUGCGUAUUUCGGGUCAAGAAAAAAAAUUUAAUUUUGCUACUGAAAAACAAUCAAGUUGUUUAAAAUUUGUCUCGACGGUAAAGCCGAGAGUCAACUUUUUCCUCUGACAAUUUUUUGCAAGUAUUAUUUUAGAUAUUUGAACUUUUUAAACGUAUAAGGCUCUUAUAGGGAUGUUGAUUCAUUAUAUUGUCGUAUACGUGAGUAUAUUUUCCAUUUACCAAUAAAAUAUAAGGCGUUUUUCUCAUGUAUAUGAUGGAUUGUUGUUUUAUUGAGCCGGGUAAAGUAACGAAUGAAAAAUUUAUUUUUGAUUAAUAGCGGGUGAAUUACCCUUAUUCCUUUUUUUUUCAAAAAGUAAAAAGUUACCAUGUUUUACAUUUUGUAAUGUCGCUUCGCUAACGAAAAGCAUUUCUUUAAAAAACAACAUAGCGCUUAGCAUUUUUCAGAGUUGAAGUGCGCUUCUCAUCACAACAGACGAAUUUUCAAACUCAUCGAAAACUCAAAUUUACUUUAAAUAAACGAUGCAUUUAUUUUUCGUGGUUUUUUUUUCUUUGCACUUUGCAGCUGUUCAAAAAUUUUUAAAAGGAACCAAUAUUAGCUUGUUUUCCAAGUAAGUGCAUACAUUUUGCUUUUAUAUAUAAAACAAUUUGAAAGCGCACGUCACGUCGCAUCUACUCAAUGUAAAACAAAAAUAUCUUAUCUUAAAGCUCAAAAACUUUUUUUUUUUCAAUUAUAGAAAUUCUUUUUAAAACAAAAAUAUCUGUCGCAAAGAACAAUAAGCUUAAAUUAAAAAUUGACAAUACAAGAAAUACCAUAAAAGAACCAUUCAUGGUGACUGUUAUAUCACAAAGCGUCGUUUGAAUAGACACUCAGAGGAAAUCUACAGCGAAGAUGACAAAAUAAUUUAUUUUUGGAUAGGAAUU